Molecule: ribosomal RNA, 836 nt
Filed under: Salmonella enterica subsp. enterica serovar Typhimurium
Lineage: Bacteria; Pseudomonadati; Pseudomonadota; Gammaproteobacteria; Enterobacterales; Enterobacteriaceae
Description: partial 23S ribosomal RNA
Rfam family: Bacterial large subunit ribosomal RNA
Source: RNAcentral
CGGAGGGAAACCGAGUCUUAAUUGGGCGUUAAGUUGCAGGGUAUAGACCCGAAACCCGGUGAUCUAGCCAUGGGCAGGUUGAAGGUUGGGUAACACUAACUGGAGGACCGAACCGACUAAUGUUGAAAAAUUAGCGGAUGACCUGUGGCUGGGGGUGAAAGGCCAAUCAAACCGGGAGAUAGCUGGUUCUCCCCGAAAGCUAUUUAGGUAGCGCCUCGUGAAUUCAUCUCCGGGGGUAGAGCACUGUUUCGGCUAGGGGGCCAUCCCGGCUUACCAACCCGAUGCAAACUGCGAAUACCGGAGAAUGUUAUCACGGGAGACACACGGCGGGUGCUAACGUCCGUCGUGAAGAGGGAAACAACCCAGACCGCCAGCUAAGGUCCCAAAGUCAUGGUUAAGUGGGAAACGAUGUGGGAAGGCCCAGACAGCCAGGAUGUUGGCUUAGAAGCAGCCAUCAUUUAAAGAAAGCGUAAUAGCUCACUGGUCGAGUCGGCCUGCGCGGAAGAUGUAACGGGGCUAAACCAUGCACCGAAGCUGCGGCAGCGAACGUAUCACCCAAGACAACUUUACGGAGUUGACGAUUGACGGAGCGAAGCGACGUCAAAGCGUUCAUUAAAGUCGAGUUGGCUUAGGGAUACGUUCGUUGGGUAGGGGAGCGUUCUGUAAGCCUGUGAAGGUGUGUCGUGAGGCAUGCUGGAGGUAUCAGAAGUGCGAAUGCUGACAUAAGUAACGAUAAAGCGGGUGAAAAGCCCGCUCGCCGGAAGACCAAGGGUUCCUGUCCAACGUUAAUCGGGGCAGGGUGAGUCGACCCCUAAGGCGAGGCCGAAAGGCGUAGU